Molecule: transfer RNA, 72 nt
Filed under: Toxocara canis (dog roundworm)
Lineage: Eukaryota; Metazoa; Nematoda; Chromadorea; Rhabditida; Toxocaridae
Rfam family: tRNA
About the family: Transfer RNA (tRNA) molecules are approximately 80 nucleotides in length. Their secondary structure includes four short double-helical elements and three loops (D, anti-codon, and T loops).
Source: Rfam by way of RNAcentral
GUGGCAGUAGUUCGGUGGUAGAUCUCUCGCUUCGUAUGCGGGAAGACCUGGGUUCGAUUCUCGGCUGCUUCC